RNAcentral lists this ribosomal RNA (115 nucleotides) under Varanus giganteus (perentie). Its description in RNAcentral is "16S ribosomal RNA". The record is from RNAcentral. Lineage: Eukaryota; Metazoa; Chordata; Lepidosauria; Squamata; Varanidae.
UAUGCACAUUCUCCUCAGUACGAAAGGACAGAAGAAUAGGAUCUAUGCUCCCAACAAAUCCUUCCCCUACGAAACAAUAUUAACCCAUAGGUACCUUCACCCCCAAGAACAGGGC